GAUGAACGCUGGCGGCGUGCCUAAUACAUGCAAGUAGAACGCUGAAGGAGGAGCUUGCUCUUCUGGAUGAGUUGCGAACGGGUGAGUAACGCGUAGGUAACCUGCCUGGUAGCGGGGGAUAACUAUUGGAAACGAUAGCUAAUACCGCAUGACAACAGUUAUUGCAUGAUAACUGUUUAAAAGGGGCAACUGCUCCACUACCAGAUGGACCUGCGUUGUAUUAGCUAGUUGGUGAGGUAACGGCUCACCAAGGCGACGAUACAUAGCCGACCUGAGAGGGUGAUCGGCCACACUGGGACUGAGACACGGCCUAGACUCCUACGGGAGGCAGCAGUAGGGAAUCUUCGGCAAUGGACGGAAGUCUGACCGAGCAACGCCGCGUGAGUGAAGAAGGUUUUCGGAUCGUAAAGCUCUGUUGUAAGAGAAGAACGAGUGUGAGAGUGGAAAGUUCACACUGUGACGGUAUCUUACCAGAAAGGGACGGCUAACUACGUG
Molecule: ribosomal RNA, 495 nt
Filed under: uncultured bacterium
Lineage: Bacteria
Description: partial 16S ribosomal RNA
Rfam family: Bacterial small subunit ribosomal RNA
Source: RNAcentral